CCCUGUACCUCUCACCCUUGUGCACCUCCAAUACCUAGCCUGGGGGCUCGUGUUUGUUGAGUGAAUGAGUGAGGGGCUGGGGAGACUGACCCGUAGAGAAUUCUGUAGGAGCGGACUUGGCGGAGAGAGGCAGUGCUUCCUGGGAUCCCCUUCCAAAGAAACUACUUGCUCCCAAAUCCUUGUCUCGGGCUCUGCUUUGGAGGGAAUCCAAACUAUGACACUAACCUCCCACAUUCUCCGUGUCUGCCCCCAGUCUGCUGAAAACUCCUGGAGAAAGCAAUUCUGGUAGCUCUAUGUUAAAAUUUGUGUUCGGUGACGUCAGAUGCAGGAAUAGACAUGGAGGAAAAUUCAUCUGGGAGUAUAACGGCCAAUGGAUUCAACGGAGGCAAAGCUGGAGGCAGGGAGGCCAGCGGGAGGCCAUCACCCUCAGCCCUCUAAAAGAAGCCCCGAGCGGGCUGGAGGUGGCUACGGGAAACAGUCAGGAAUUGGUGAUUAUUUCAGAUACAAGAUCGCAUGUUAACCACACACGAAACUUGUAUUUUGGAAGGCAGGGCCGAGAUAAACGCUAUCUGGCUUCUGUAUUCAAGCAGAGCUCUUCGUCAAAGGAAACGGAAACAUUUGCCAGUUGCAGAAUGGAAAAACCGCACACGCUUAUCUGCCAGAGCUAUUUUGCUUAUAGACGAUCUAACAUUAGUCCAACAGUGGAGGUGACUUUCCAUACUCGCCCUGCCUCCUACCACCUUCUUUGAGGCAUCGAACGCUCCACCUACUUCCUCUUCAUUUUGUCUCGGCGAGGACUCUUGUUUGUAUCUUUGCCUUGUUGCUUUAUGACUUUUGGGUUUUGUGUGUGUGUGUGUGUCCCACUGAAAUAUGUACCAAAGUCCUCCCUGUUGCCUUGGUAAAUCUGUAUCUGGGAAUAAACCAAACAGGGAAAAAG
Felis catus (domestic cat) is the source of this 937-nucleotide long non-coding RNA. RefSeq lists it as uncharacterized. NCBI's taxonomy places the organism in Eukaryota, Metazoa, Chordata, Mammalia, Carnivora, Felidae. The record is from RefSeq and is a predicted model, not a curated record. The transcript has 2 exons.